AUGUCUUUUUUCUCCUCGCAUACCGGCCAACCAAGAUGGGGACGAUCUCGUACACCCAUAUCUGCAGUAAUUACAAUUAUUAUGUAUUGAAUUCAAUAAAAGUUUAGAUAAUUCAUUACGGUAAACAUUUACCUGCAAAGCCAGUAGCAGGCCGUAUGCAUUGUACUUGCGCUCGAACUUACUCCAUUUAGGCAUCAAAUAUCAUCUCCUGAUGACGCCACAUGUAUCAGUAAAACACCGUCGUCCCCAUGGAUAGUUGUUGAACGUGUCAAUAGCAUCAACAAUCUCCAAAUGAAAGACGUCGAUCGACGUCUUCUUGUGAUGACACCUCAGUACGUCCUCCAAUAUGAACAUCAUCCCCAACUUCAACCUGUCAGAUAUAUCGUCACAUUCCCUGAAUGCGUCUCCUAACUGUGCUAGAGUCACUGUCGACUGCCCAUUGAAGCACUCAUUCGGUAGCCUCCUGUCACUCGGAACUCGAGCCCUCCCUGCUUCCUCACCCGUACAUUUCAAUCCAGUGAUGAGGGUAAACUCAAAUAUAGAAAAUGUAGCGACAUUGCCCCCAAGAUCAAAAUGGAUAACAACUCCGUCAACUGGCUGAAGUAGUCGACAUGGUAAUGCAUCGAGCAGCUGGCCAGAGAAAAUUGUACGUCACGCAAUGCAUACAACAGUCAUAAGCAGGAUCUACGUAGCAUGUCCGCGUGCUCUUCAUCCAACAGAUAUAAGACUACUGUAAAGCUGACAAAGUUACGGUUCGAUAUAACUUUGUAGGGAAUCUAUCUCAUGGCAACAUCCAAAUGAUAAUCCAUAUCUGCAAAAUUGAAAAUUUUAGAACUUUGUAUAGGAGACAAUGGAUAAAGCACAAUAUUUGAAAAUUAAACUAACCAAACUGUAACUAAUACACACAAGAAUGAACGGAUAAUGGAAUAAAGGAAAUAUUAU
RNAcentral lists this long non-coding RNA (942 nucleotides) under Olea europaea (common olive). RNAcentral describes it as "long non-coding RNA (OEUR_LNC010413)". Lineage: Eukaryota; Viridiplantae; Streptophyta; Magnoliopsida; Lamiales; Oleaceae. The record is from RNAcentral.